RNAcentral lists this ribosomal RNA (391 nucleotides) under Chrysophyceae sp. RNAcentral describes it as "partial small subunit ribosomal RNA". It matches the Rfam family "Eukaryotic small subunit ribosomal RNA", at positions 582 to 975 of the family's 1831-position model. The record is from RNAcentral. Lineage: Eukaryota; Chrysophyceae.
AUUCCAGUUCCAAUAGCGUAUACUAAAGUUGUUGCAGUUAAAAAGCUCGUAGUUGAAUUUCUGGUCGUGGCAAUCGGUCAGCCCCUCACGGGGUUCGUACCAGGUUGCUGCGUCCAUCCUCGGGGAGAGCACAUCGGGCAUUCAGUUGUCUGGUGUGGGAUCCUCGUCAUUUACUGUGAGCAAAAUAGAGUGUUCAAAGCAGGCUUAGGCCGUUGAAUACAUUAGCAUGGAAUAAUAAGAUAGGACCUUGGUCUAUUUUGUUGGUUUGCAUUCCAAGGUAAUGAUUAAUAGGGAUAGUUGGGGGUAUUCGUAUUCAAUUGUCAGAGGUGAAAUUCUUGGAUUUAUGGAAGACGAACUACUGCGAAAGCAUUUACCAAGGAUGUUUUCAUUA